GGUUAAGCGACUAAGCGUACACGGUGGAUGCCCUGGCAGUCAGAGGCGAUGAAGGACGUGCUAAUCUGCGAUAAGCGUCGGUAAGGUGAUAUGAACCGUUAUAACCGGCGAUUUCCGAAUGGGGAAACCCAGUGUGUUUCGACACACUAUCAUUAACUGAAUCCAUAGGUUAAUGAGGCGAACCGGGGGAACUGAAACAUCUAAGUACCCCGAGGAAAAGAAAUCAACCGAGAUUCCCCCAGUAGCGGCGAGCGAACGGGGAGCAGCCCAGAGCCUGAAUCAGUGUGUGUGUUAGUGGAAGCGUCUGGAAAGGCGCGCGAUACAGGGUGACAGCCCCGUACACAAAAAUGCACAUGCUGUGAGCUCGAUGAGUAGGGCGGGACACGUGGUAUCCUGUCUGAAUAUGGGGGGACCAUCCUCCAAGGCUAAAUACUCCUGACUGACCGAUAGUGAACCAGUACCGUGAGGGAAAGGCGAAAAGAACCCCGGCGAGGGGAGUGAAAAAGAACCUGAAACCGUGUACGUACAAGCAGUGGGAGCACGCUUAGGCGUGUGACUGCGUACCUUUUGUAUAAUGGGUCAGCGACUUAUAUUCUGUAGCAAGGUUAACCGAAUAGGGGAGCCGAAGGGAAACCGAGUCUUAACUGGGCGUUAAGUUGCAGGGUAUAGACCCGAAACCCGGUGAUCUAGCCAUGGGCAGGUUGAAGGUUGGGUAACACUAACUGGAGGACCGAACCGACUAAUGUUGAAAAAUUAGCGGAUGACUUGUGGCUGGGGGUGAAAGGCCAAUCAAACCGGGAGAUAGCUGGUUCUCCCCGAAAGCUAUUUAGGUAGCGCCUCGUGAAUUCAUCUCCGGGGGUAGAGCACUGUUUCGGCAAGGGGGUCAUCCCGACUUACCAACCCGAUGCAAACUGCGAAUACCGGAGAAUGUUAUCACGGGAGACACACGGCGGGUGCUAACGUCCGUCGUGAAGAGGGAAACAACCCAGACCGCCAGCUAAGGUCCCAAAGUCAUGGUUAAGUGGGAAACGAUGUGGGAAGGCCCAGACAGCCAGGAUGUUGGCUUAGAAGCAGCCAUCAUUUAAAGAAAGCGUAAUAGCUCACUGGUCGAGUCGGCCUGCGCGGAAGAUGUAACGGGGCUAAACCAUGCACCGAAGCUGCGGCAGCGACGCUGAUGCGUUGUUGGGUAGGGGAGCGUUCUGUAAGCCUGCGAAGGUGUGCUGUGAGGCAUGCUGGAGGUAUCAGAAGUGCGAAUGCUGACAUAAGUAACGAUAAAGCGGGUGAAAAGCCCGCUCGCCGGAAGACCAAGGGUUCCUGUCCAACGUUAAUCGGGGCAGGGUGAGUCGACCCCUAAGGCGAGGCCGAAAGGCGUAGUCGAUGGGAAACAGGUUAAUAUUCCUGUACUUGGUGUUACUGCGAAGGGGGGACGGAGAAGGCUAUGUUGGCCGGGCGACGGUUGUCCCGGUUUAAGCGUGUAGGCUGGUUUUCCAGGCAAAUCCGGAAAAUCAAGGCUGAGGCGUGAUGACGAGGCACUACGGUGCUGAAGCAACAAAUGCCCUGCUUCCAGGAAAAGCCUCUAAGCAUCAGGUAACAUCAAAUCGUACCCCAAACCGACACAGGUGGUCAGGUAGAGAAUACCAAGGCGCUUGAGAGAACUCGGGUGAAGGAACUAGGCAAAAUGGUGCCGUAACUUCGGGAGAAGGCACGCUGAUAUGUAGGUGAAGUCCCUCGCGGAUGGAGCUGAAAUCAGUCGAAGAUACCAGCUGGCUGCAACUGUUUAUUAAAAACACAGCACUGUGCAAACACGAAAGUGGACGUAUACGGUGUGACGCCUGCCCGGUGCCGGAAGGUUAAUUGAUGGGGUUAGCGCAAGCGAAGCUCUUGAUCGAAGCCCCGGUAAACGGCGGCCGUAACUAUAACGGUCCUAAGGUAGCGAAAUUCCUUGUCGGGUAAGUUCCGACCUGCACGAAUGGCGUAAUGAUGGCCAGGCUGUCUCCACCCGAGACUCAGUGAAAUUGAACUCGCUGUGAAGAUGCAGUGUACCCGCGGCAAGACGGAAAGACCCCGUGAACCUUUACUAUAGCUUGACACUGAACAUUGAGCCUUGAUGUGUAGGAUAGGUGGGAGGCUU
Molecule: ribosomal RNA, 2131 nt
Filed under: Escherichia coli
Lineage: Bacteria; Pseudomonadati; Pseudomonadota; Gammaproteobacteria; Enterobacterales; Enterobacteriaceae
Description: partial 23S ribosomal RNA
Rfam family: Bacterial large subunit ribosomal RNA
Source: RNAcentral